GGGGGGAGCAGUGGCGUGGGCUGGGGAGGGGCUAGGAGGGGUCGCUUCACCCCUCACCCUCCCUUUCUGCCAUGUGGGGGCCCUGAGUGGUUGAGGAAAUGUUGUGGGCUGGGGCACCCACCGGAGGGCAGAAACUGGAGGAAGCGGGAGACAUCGCCAAGGACCCAGGGCCCUCUCCUUCCAGUUCCCCGGGCCCACCGGCUCCCGCUCACCACUCCCUCCAUAGUGCCCAGUCUAGCCUGGUCCGUCCCCGGGCUAGCAGCCUGGCCCGUGUCCGGGGUGCCUGAACGCUCUACCUCCAGAUCCCUGCUUCGGCCUCACUUUGGGGAUGACGCACCCGAGUGAGUCCUGCUUCCCUGGUAGCUCUGGAUCAGGCACCCUGCCCACCUCCCUCCCCAAAGGCCGAGUUCGAGAGUUCGUGUCCCUCCUGGAAUCGUUUGAGAGAAGGACAAACUUUUGAGUGGAUGAAAAUGAAGAGAAGCCCGUCCCGAGCAGAAAACUACCUUCCAGGUCAAGGAGUUUCUCCACGCCAAAAGGGGUUGGACUCGUCUGUAAAGAGCUUGACAUGAGGUUUGCAAACACUGGAGGAGCCAGAGAAAGAAUCUCAUACAAGAAAGAAAAUGAUGACAUUCCCGACCAGGACAAGUGGAUCUCAGGGGUCCUCUUUCCCUUGGAUGGGCUCCGGCUCAUGGCUGUCUCUCCAUGGAACACCACUGAUUAGCCAGUCCCACCGCCACUCACAUCUGCAAAAAAGGGUGGCAGCUCUGUUGAGGCCUCGGUGAAGGGGGAUACAGACUGUCUACCCAGAACAGCCUCCUUGCCACAACCUGGCCCCUCAGGGAAGGAGAGAAGAACCCAACUCACUUCACAGGAUCCGGAAUCUCAGCGGGCAGAGCCGACAGCCACAGCUGCCUCCUAGAGCCUGACACAGGAAGAGGCUUCCACCUUUGGGCUCUCCUUGCUGCCUUGGCCUCUACUCUGUUCAGUUUGCUUCUGUGUUUUUCUUCCCCAUUUGGGGAUGGCAAGGGACAGAGAAAUGAAUUGUUUCUCCCCAUGCCACUAAUACAUCCCUGUACCUCCACCAGCCUCAAAACUGCUGAUAGUAAUGAACUACAGCUUCCAGCCCUGCCCAUUAGCUACUUGAGGCAAAUUUAAAUUCUCUUCUGGGCAGGAGGAAGGGCAGGUGCUCCUUCCUUCGUCCUCCCUUGCUCAUUGAUCCAUUCUGAGGCCAUUAGGGGGUCAAAACCGAGACCAGAUUGCUUCAAUUGGUAUAAAAUUAGCAUUUCUUAUCACACCAAAUGCCCAAAUUUCUCACAUCACCCAGACCCACACCAGUUCUCUGUCCCCUCUCAAGCCAGUGAUGAUGUAAAGAUUUCCUGAGGUGGAGGAAUAGAAGGAAAAAUGAGAAACUGGCUCCAUUUAGAAGUCAAUAGCUUCAGCUAUUCAUUCCACUAAUAUUUCUUUAGUACCUACUAUGCGCAAAGCAUCGGCUCUUCCUCAGUUUGCCAUGACUAUCAAAAAAAAGAUUCUUGCCACUGUGAGGCUUCAAAGUGUUGUGCACAGAUAUACAAAUAAAUGAAUGGAAAAGAAA
Long non-coding RNA from Cynocephalus volans (Philippine flying lemur), 1591 nucleotides. RefSeq lists it as uncharacterized. The record is from RefSeq and is a predicted model, not a curated record. The transcript has 3 exons. NCBI's taxonomy places the organism in Eukaryota, Metazoa, Chordata, Mammalia, Dermoptera, Cynocephalidae.